RNAcentral lists this ribosomal RNA (497 nucleotides) under uncultured bacterium. Its description in RNAcentral is "partial 16S ribosomal RNA". It matches the Rfam family "Bacterial small subunit ribosomal RNA", at positions 28 to 507 of the family's 1533-position model. The record is from RNAcentral.
GAUGAACGCUGGCGGCGUGCCUAAUACAUGCAAGUCGAGCGAACGGACGAGAAGCUUGCCUCUCUGAUGUUAGCGGCGGACGGGUGAGUAACACGUGGAUAACCUACCUAUAAGACUGGGAUAACUUCGGGAAACCGGAGCUAAUACCGGAUAAUAUUUUGAACCGCAUGGUUCAAAAGUGAAAGACGGUCUUGCUGUCACUUAUAGAUGGAUCCGCGCUGCAUUAGCUAGUUGGUAAGGUAACGGCUUAACAAGGCAACGAUGCAUAGCCGACCUGAGAGGGUGAUCGGCCACACUGGAACUGAGACACGGUCCAGACUCCUACGGGAGGCAGCAGUAGGGAAUCUUCCGCAAUGGGCGAAAGCCUGACGGAGCAACGCCGCGUGAGUGAUGAAGGUCUUCGGAUCGUAAAACUCUGUUAUUAGGGAAGAACAUAUGUGUAAGUAGCUGUGCACAUCUUGACGGUACCUAAUCAGAAAGCCACGGCUAACUACGUG